Molecule: ribosomal RNA, 482 nt
Filed under: uncultured bacterium
Lineage: Bacteria
Description: partial 16S ribosomal RNA
Rfam family: Bacterial small subunit ribosomal RNA
Source: RNAcentral
GACGAACGCUGGCGGCGUGCUUAACACAUGCAAGUCGAACGCUGAAGCUCAGCUUGCUGGGUGGAUGAGUGGCGAACGGGUGAGUAACACGUGAGUAACCUGCCCUCUUCUUUGGGAUAACGCCCGGAAACGGGUGCUAAUACUGGAUAUUCACUGAUUCUCGCAUGGGGGUUGGUGGAAAGGUUUUUUCUGGUGGGGGAUGGGCUCGCGGCCUAUCAGCUUGUUGGUGGGGUGAUGGCCUACCAAGGCUUUGACGGGUAGCCGGCCUGAGAGGGUGACCGGUGACAUUGGGACUGAGAUACGGCCCAGACUCCUACGGGAGGCAGCAGUGGGGAAUAUUGCACAAGGGGAGAAAGCCUGAUGCAGCGACGCCGCGUGAGGGAUGGAGGCCUUCGGGUUGUAAACCUCUUUCGCUCAUGGUCAAGCCGCAGCUUUGGGUUGUGGUGAGGGUAGUGGGUAAAGAAGCGCCGGCUAACUACGUG